Molecule: ribosomal RNA, 253 nt
Filed under: uncultured bacterium
Lineage: Bacteria
Description: partial 16S ribosomal RNA
Rfam family: Bacterial small subunit ribosomal RNA
Source: RNAcentral
UACGUAGGGGGCAAGCGUUGUCCGGAAUCAUUGGGCGUAAAGAGCGUGUAGGCGGUCCGAUCAGUCGGCUGUGAAAGUCCAGGGCUCAACCCUGGGAUGCCGGUCGAUACUGUCGGGCUAGAGUCCGGAAGAGGCGAGUGGAAUUCCCGGUGUAGCGGUGAAAUGCGCAGAUAUCGGGAGGAACACCAAUGGCGAAGGCAGCUCGCUGGGACGGUACUGACGCUGAGACGCGAAAGCGUGGGGAGCAAACAGG